AGGAGCCACUGUGGCUCUGGCCCAUUGUGCCGGCCUUCGGGCCCUCAGGGAGGCGAGGGUGCGAGAGCCUCGAGUUCGAGGCCGACCUCCUCCAAAAAAACUUUCUUUUU
Molecule: non-coding RNA, 110 nt
Filed under: Gorilla gorilla (western gorilla)
Lineage: Eukaryota; Metazoa; Chordata; Mammalia; Primates; Hominidae
Source: RNAcentral